AACAGGAUUAGAUACCCUGGUAGUCCACGCUGUAAACGGUGGGUACUAGGUGUGGGGUCCAUUCCACGGGUUCCGUGCCGUAGCUAACGCUUUAAGUACCCCGCCUGGGGAGUACGGCCGCAAGGCUAAAACUCAAAGGAAUUGACGGGGCCCCGCACAAGCGGCGGAGCAUGCGGAUUAAUUCGAUGCAACGCGUAGAACCUUACCUGGGUUUGACAUGGAUCGGGAGUGCUCAGAGAUGGGUGUGCCUCUUUUGGGGUCGGUUCACAGGUGGUGCAUGGCUGUCGUCGGCUCGUGUCGUGAGAUGUUGGGUUAAGUCCCGCAACGAGCGCAACCCUUGUUCACUGUUGCCAGCACGUUAUGGUGGGGACUCAGUGGAGACCGCCGGGGUCAACUCGGAGGAAGGUGGGGAUGACGUCAAGUCAUCAUGCCCCUUAUGUCCAGGGCUUCACGCAUGCUACAAUGGCUGGUACAGAGAGUGGCGAGCCUGUGAGGGUGAGCGAAUCUCGGAAAGCCGGUCUCAGUUCGGAUUGGGGUCUGCAACUCGACCUCAUGAAGUCGGAGUCGCUAGUAAUCGCAGAUCAGCAGCGCUGCGGUGAAUACGUUCCCGGGGCUUGUACACACCGCCCGUCAAGUCAUGAAAGUUGGUAACACCCGAAGCCGGUGGCCUAACCGUUGUGGGGGAGCCGUCGAAGGUGGGACUGGUGAUUAGGACUAAGUCGUAACAAGGUAACC
This 735-nucleotide ribosomal RNA is filed under the name uncultured bacterium. RNAcentral's name for it is "bacterial SSU rRNA". It matches the Rfam family "Bacterial small subunit ribosomal RNA", at positions 771 to 1501 of the family's 1533-position model. The record is from RNAcentral.